RNAcentral lists this ribosomal RNA (253 nucleotides) under uncultured bacterium. RNAcentral's name for it is "partial 16S ribosomal RNA". It matches the Rfam family "Bacterial small subunit ribosomal RNA", at positions 524 to 776 of the family's 1533-position model. The record is from RNAcentral.
UACGUAGGGUGCGAGCGUUGUCCGGAAUUAUUGGGCGUAAAGAGCUUGUAGGCGGUUUGUCGCGUCUGCUGUGAAAAUCCGGGGCUCAACCCCGGACUUGCAGUGGGUACGGGCAGACUAGAGUGUGGUAGGGGAGACUGGAAUUCCUGGUGUAGCGGUGAAAUGCGCAGAUAUCAGGAGGAACACCGGUGGCGAAGGCGGGUCUCUGGGCCGUUACUGACGCUGAGGAGCGAAAGCGUGGGGAGCAAACAGG